This 440-nucleotide ribosomal RNA is filed under the name uncultured bacterium. RNAcentral describes it as "partial 16S ribosomal RNA". It matches the Rfam family "Bacterial small subunit ribosomal RNA", at positions 339 to 795 of the family's 1533-position model. The record is from RNAcentral.
CUACGGGGGGCAGCAGUGGGGAAUAUUGGACAAUGGGGGAAACUCUGAUGCAGCAACGCCGCGUGGAGGAUGACACUUUUCGGAGCGUAAACUCCUUUUAUAUAGGAAGAAGAUGACGGUACUAUAUGAAUAAGCGCCGGCUAACUCCGUGCCAGCAGCCGCGGUAAUACGGGAGGGCGCAAGCGUUACUCGGAAUCACUGGGCGUAAAGAGCGUGUAGGCGGAUUAAAAAGUCAGAAGUGAAGUCCUAUAGCUUAACUAUAGAACUGCUUCUGAAACUCUUAAUCUAGAAUAUGGGAGAGGUAGAUGGAAUUUCUGGUAUAGGGGUAAAAUCCGUAGAGAUCAGAAGGAAUACCGAUUGCGAAGGCGAUCUACUAGAACAUUAUUGACGCUGAGACGCGAAAGCGUGGGGAGCAAACAGGAUUAGAUACCCGCGUAGUC